Notolabrus celidotus (New Zealand spotty) is the source of this 832-nucleotide long non-coding RNA. RefSeq lists it as uncharacterized. The record is from RefSeq and is a predicted model, not a curated record. Lineage: Eukaryota; Metazoa; Chordata; Actinopteri; Labriformes; Labridae. The transcript has 5 exons.
UGAGUGUAGCAACAGCGCCAGUGAUUUAAAUUUUUACAAACAAACUUUUGGUAAAAAGCCUUGAAAUGUCGAUGAGAAGAGGUUCUGCACACGGACAAGAUUCUGCAUGUAAAGAAGGGGUUCUGCACACCGUCAAGCUCCUGCAUGUAAAGAAGAGGUUCUGCACAUGGAGAAUAUUCUGCAUUCAGCAGAUGGCAGCAGUGAACAAGGACGUUCCUUCACUGGAUCUUCUUCUGACCUUGGGGCUAUAGCUGAAGCGCUGACUCCCAGGGUAAAUUCAUCUUGGAAAAUAAAAAGAACAAGACCACAUGCUUCUCAGACAAGCGCUCAAAAGAGCAGCCCCAUUCAGUUCAGCAGGGAUGUGGCUCUGCUCUGAAAGGGAUCUGCUUGUGCCUGCACGCCUCGUCCACCCGUGCCCCCAAAAUGCUGGAUAAUUUAUGGCCUUGGAGGAGAUUAUAAAGAUGGAUCUUUGAGGCAAUCAAUUCUCAUGUUGCGUUUUGAAUGGUGGGAUAGAAAUGAAGUGCAGAAUAAUUAAAAAGAUCACAAGUCCCCCCUCGCAUGUAAUAAUGAGUGGCUCCAGAGGCAGUGGGCUCUGCCACAGCGCCGCAGGAACAGCCUUUGAUUUGACUGAGAGGACACCCGGCCCGGUCCAACAAGCCGUCGCACAAUGAGGGGGUUUCACCAACAUGGCCAUAUUGCGAAUAAGUCACAGAGGACUGUGUGAUUGUCCGGCAGAUCAUAAGCACAGACUGUUGUCGGAGGAAAUGAGGAGGAGGAGGGGGUGGAGAGUGGGGGUCUUGUUGCUUGGAUGUCUAAAGUCAGGGUGACUCAG